AUUGAACGCUGGCGGCAUGCCUUACACAUGCAAGUCGAACGGCAGCACGGGAGCAAUCCUGGUGGCGAGUGGCGAACGGGUGAGUAAUAUAUCGGAACGUGCCCGGUCGUGGGGAUAACGUAGCGAAAGCUACGCUAAUACCGCAUACGAUCUACGGAUGAAAGCGGGGGAUCGCAAGACCUCGCGCGAUUGGAGCGGCCGAUAUCAGAUUAGGUAGUUGGUGAGGUAAAGGCUCACCAAGCCGACGAUCUGUAGCUGGUCUGAGAGGACGACCAGCCACACUGGGACUGAGACACGGCCAGACUCCUACGGGAGGCAGCAGUGGGGAAUUUUGGACAAUGGGCGCAAGCCUGAUCCAGCAAUGCCGCGUGCAGGAUGAAGGCCU
This 385-nucleotide ribosomal RNA is filed under the name uncultured bacterium. Its description in RNAcentral is "bacterial SSU rRNA". It matches the Rfam family "Bacterial small subunit ribosomal RNA", at positions 30 to 417 of the family's 1533-position model. The record is from RNAcentral.